RNAcentral lists this ribosomal RNA (790 nucleotides) under Staphylococcus aureus. RNAcentral describes it as "bacterial SSU rRNA". It matches the Rfam family "Bacterial small subunit ribosomal RNA", at positions 1 to 764 of the family's 1533-position model. The record is from RNAcentral. Lineage: Bacteria; Bacillati; Bacillota; Bacilli; Caryophanales; Staphylococcaceae.
CGGGGGGGUUUUUUUUUUUUAAGAGUUUUCCUCGUAGGAUGAACGCUGGCGGCGUGCCUAAUACAUGCAAGUCGAGCGAACGGACGAGAAGCUUGCUUCUCUGAUGUUAGCGGCGGACGGGUGAGUAACACGUGGAUAACCUACCUAUAAGACUGGGAUAACUUCGGGAAACCGGAGCUAAUACCGGAUAAUAUUUUGAACCGCAUGGUUCAAAAGUGAAAGACGGUCUUGCUGUCACUUAUAGAUGGAUCCGCGCUGCAUUAGCUAGUUGGUAAGGUAACGGCUUACCAAGGCAACGAUGCAUAGCCGACCUGAGAGGGUGAUCGGCCACACUGGAACUGAGACACGGUCCAGACUCCUACGGGAGGCAGCAGUAGGGAAUCUUCCGCAAUGGGCGAAAGCCUGACGGAGCAACGCCGCGUGAGUGAUGAAGGUCUUCGGAUCGUAAAACUCUGUUAUUAGGGAAGAACAUAUGUGUAAGUAACUGUGCACAUCUUGACGGUACCUAAUCAGAAAGCCACGGCUAACUACGUGCCAGCAGCCGCGGUAAUACGUAGGUGGCAAGCGUUAUCCGGAAUUAUUGGGCGUAAAGCGCGCGUAGGCGGUUUUUUAAGUCUGAUGUGAAAGCCCACGGCUCAACCGUGGAGGGUCAUUGGAAACUGGAAAACUUGAGUGCAGAAGAGGAAAGUGGAAUUCCAUGUGUAGCGGUGAAAUGCGCAGAGAUAUGGAGGAACACCAGUGGCGAAGGCGACUUUCUGGUCUGUAACUGACGCUGAUUGCGAAAGAUCGC